UUCUUGGUCAAUUUAUUGAAGGUGAAAGUCGUAACAAGGUUUCCGUAGGUGAUACUGCGGAAGGAUCAUUACCAUACCCCGGCCCCUCGCGGGCCGCGUAUACCACCCGUGCCUACCCUACCUCUGUUGCUUUGGCGAGGCGUCCCCUCGGGGCCGGCGGCUCCGGCUGCUGCGCCCUCGCCAGAGACCCCCCAACUCUUUGUGUGAAUAACGUGAUGUCUGAGUACGAUCGAAUCGUGAAAAACUUUCAACAACGGAUCUCUUGGUUCUGGCAUCGAUGAAGAACGCAGCGAAAUGCGAUAAGUAAUGUGAAUUGCAGAAUUCAGUGAAUCAUCGAAUCUUUGAACGCACAUUGCGCCCUUUGGUAUUCCGAAGGGCAUGCCUGUCCGAGCGUCAUUGACAACCACUCAAGCCCUGGCUUGGUCUUGGGGUGCCCGGCAUCGGGGCCCCUAAAAUCAGUGGCGGUGCCGCCCGGCCCUGCGCGUAGUAGCCAUCCUCGCGUCUGGGUCCGGGCGGCGUCCUGCCAGCAACCCCCCCCACUUCCACACCGGUUGACCUCGGAUCAUGUAGGGAUACCCGCUGAAAUUACGUGUAUCAAUAACCCGGAAACAAA
This is a ribosomal RNA of 613 nucleotides. The stretch from base 243 to 396 matches the Rfam family "5.8S ribosomal RNA".